RNAcentral lists this ribosomal RNA (453 nucleotides) under uncultured bacterium. Its description in RNAcentral is "bacterial SSU rRNA". It matches the Rfam family "Bacterial small subunit ribosomal RNA", at positions 28 to 468 of the family's 1533-position model. The record is from RNAcentral.
GACGAACGCUGGCGGCGUGCCUAAUACAUGCAAGUCGAGCGGAUCUUGUCCUUCGGGAUAAGGUUAGCGGCGGACGGGUGAGUAACACGUAGGCAACCUGCCCUCGAGACUGGGAUAACCUCCGGAAACGGAUGCUAAUACCAGAUACGCGAUCUUCCCACCUGGGGAGAUCGGGAAAGACGGAGCAAUCUGUUACUCGGGGAUGGGCCUGCGGCGCAUUAGCUAGUUGGUGAGGUAACGGCUCACCAAGGCGACGAUGCGUAGCCGACCUGAGAGGGUGAUCGGCCACACUGGGACUGAGACACGGCCCAGACUCCUACGGGAGGCAGCAGUAGGGAAUCUUCCGCAAUGGACGAAAGUCUGACGGAGCAACGCCGCGUGAGUGAGGAAGGCCUUCGGGUCGUAAAGCUCUGUUGCCAGGGAAGAACGCUUGGGAGAGUAACUGCUCUCAAG